UUCCUGAUGGCUCAGACGGUAAAGAAUCUGCCUGCAGUGCAGGAGACCCAGGUUCAAUCCCUGGUUUGGGAA
RNAcentral lists this transfer RNA (72 nucleotides) under Bos taurus (domestic cattle). It matches the Rfam family "tRNA". Rfam says of the family: Transfer RNA (tRNA) molecules are approximately 80 nucleotides in length. Their secondary structure includes four short double-helical elements and three loops (D, anti-codon, and T loops). Lineage: Eukaryota; Metazoa; Chordata; Mammalia; Artiodactyla; Bovidae. RNAcentral also lists the same sequence under 2 other names. The record is from Rfam by way of RNAcentral.